This 77-nucleotide transfer RNA is filed under the name Botryobasidium botryosum FD-172 SS1. Its description in RNAcentral is "tRNA-Arg (GCG) (tRNA-Arg-GCG-1-1)". Lineage: Eukaryota; Fungi; Basidiomycota; Agaricomycetes; Cantharellales; Botryobasidiaceae. The record is from RNAcentral.
UGUGCCUUAGCUCAGUGGAAGAGUGACCGCGACCUGCGAAGGGGGGGUGACCGAGGGUUCGAUUCCCCGAGGCAGAG